RNAcentral lists this transfer RNA (74 nucleotides) under Sphaerobolus stellatus. RNAcentral describes it as "tRNA-His". It matches the Rfam family "tRNA". From Rfam's summary of the family: Transfer RNA (tRNA) molecules are approximately 80 nucleotides in length. Lineage: Eukaryota; Fungi; Basidiomycota; Agaricomycetes; Geastrales; Sphaerobolaceae. The record is from RNAcentral.
GGUAAAAUUAGUUUAAUUGGUCAAAUUACUUCUUGUGGCGAAGCUGGUUCAGAGUUCGAAUCUCUGAUUUUACC